This 1203-nucleotide ribosomal RNA is filed under the name metagenome. Its description in RNAcentral is "bacterial SSU rRNA". It matches the Rfam family "Archaeal small subunit ribosomal RNA", at positions 241 to 1445 of the family's 1478-position model. The record is from RNAcentral.
GUAGCGUACCUACUAGCCUACGACGGGUACGGGUUGUGAGAGCAAGAGCCCGGAGAUGGAUUCUGAGACACGAAUCCAGGCCCUACGGGGUGCAGCAGGCGCGAAAACUUUACAAUGCUGGAAACAGCGAUAAGGGGACCUCGAGUGCCAGGUUACAAAUCUGGCUGUCGUGAUGCCUAAAAAGCAUUGCAUAGCAAGGGCCGGGCAAGACCGGUGCCAGCCGCCGCGGUAACACCGGCGGCUCGAGUGGUAACCGUUAUUAUUGGGUCUAAAGGGUCUGUAGCCGGCCGGAUAAGUCUCUUGGGAAAUCUGGCAGCUUAACUGUCAGGCUUUCAGGAGAUACUGUCUGGCUCGAGGCCGGGAGAGGUGAGAGGUACUUCAGGGGUAGGGGUGAAAUCUUGUAAUCCUUGAAGGACCACCAGUGGCGAAGGCGUCUCACCAGAACGGACCUGACGGCAAGGGACGAAAGCUAGGGGCACGAACCGGAUUAGAUACCCGGGUAGUCCUAGCCGUAAACGAUACUCGCUAGGUGUCGGCCACGGUGCGACCGUUGUCGGUGCCGUAGGGAAGCCGUGAAGCGAGCCACCUGGGAAGUACGGCCGCAAGGCUGAGACUUAAAGGAAUUGGCGGGGGAGCACCACAACGGGUGGAGCUUGCGGUUUAAUUGGAUUCAACGCCGGAAAUCUUACCGGGACCGACAGCAAUAUGAAGGCCAGGCUGAAGACUUUGCCGGAUUAGCUGAGAGGUGGUGCAUGGCCGUCGUCAGUUCGUACUGUGAAGCAUCCUGUUAAGUCAGGCAACGAGCGAGACCCACGCCCACAGUUGCCAGCGUACUCUCCGGAGUGACGGGUACACUGUGGGAACCGCCGCUGCUAAAGCGGAGGAAGGAAUGGGCAACGGUAGGUCAGUAUGCCCCGAAUAUCCCGGGCUACACGCGAGCUACAAUGGUUGGUACAAUGGGUAUCUACCCCGAAAGGGGAUGGAAAUCUCCUAAAGCCAAUCUUAGUCCGGAUUGAGGGCUGCAACUCGCCCUCAUGAAGCUGGAAUCCGUAGUAAUCGCGUUUCAACAGAACGCGGUGAAUACGUCCCUGCUCCUUGCACACACCGCCCGUCAAACCACCCGAGUAGGGUCUGAAUGAGAGCGCCUCCAACGGAAGCGUUCGAAUUUGGGCUUUGCAAGGGGGGUUAAGUCGUAACAAGGUA